GAUGAACGCUGGCGGCGUGCCUAAUACAUGCAAGUAGAACGCUGAAGGAGGAGCUUGCUCUUCUGGAUGAGUUGCGAACGGGUGAGUAACGCGUAGGUAACCUGCCUGGUAGCGGGGGAUAACUAUUGGAAACGAUAGCUAAUACCGCAUGACAACAGUUAUUGCAUGAUAACUGUUUAAAAGGGGCAACUGCUCCACUACCAGAUGGACCUGCGUUGUAUUAGCUAGUUGGUGAGGUAACGGCUCACCAAGGCGACGAUACAUAGCCGACCUGAGAGGGUGAUCGGCCACACUGGGACUGAGACACGGCCCAGACUCCUACGGGAGGCAGCAGUAGGGAAUCUUCGGCAAUGGACGGAAGUCUGACCGAGCAACGCCGCGUGAGUGAAGAAGGUUUUCGGAUCGUAAAGCUCUGUUGUAAGAGAAGAACGAGUGUGAGAGUGGAAAGUCCACACUGUGACGGUAUCUUACCAGAAAGGGACGGCUAACUACGU
This 494-nucleotide ribosomal RNA is filed under the name uncultured bacterium. RNAcentral's name for it is "partial 16S ribosomal RNA". It matches the Rfam family "Bacterial small subunit ribosomal RNA", at positions 28 to 506 of the family's 1533-position model. The record is from RNAcentral.